RNAcentral lists this ribosomal RNA (409 nucleotides) under Microhyla fissipes (ornate chorus frog). Its description in RNAcentral is "partial 16S ribosomal RNA". It matches the Rfam family "Bacterial large subunit ribosomal RNA", at positions 1834 to 2459 of the family's 2925-position model. The record is from RNAcentral. Lineage: Eukaryota; Metazoa; Chordata; Amphibia; Anura; Microhylidae.
CCUGAUCACCCAUAGGAGGUCCAGCCUGCCCAGUGACUAAGUUAAACGGCCGCGGUACCCUAACCGUGCAAAGGUAGCGCAAUCACUUGUUCUUUAAAUGAGGACUAGUAUGAACGGCAUCACGAGGGUUAUGCUGUCUCCCUACUCUACUCAGUGAAACUGAUCUCCCCGUGAAGAAGCGGGGAUAAAGAUAUAAGACGAGAAGACCCCAUGGAGCUUUAAACUCAGUACCAACUGCCCUAAUAAUAACCUAUUACCUUUGCAGCCAUGGUUACUAGUUUUCGGUUGGGGUGACCACGGAGUAAAAUUUAACCUCCACGAUGAAAGGAACUAAUAUCCUAACCUAUGAGCUACAGCUCUAAGUAUCAACAAAUUGACUAAUUGACCCAAUUACUUGAUCAACGAACCA